CAGGCUGGUAGUGAGGAUUAGCCAGCUUGGUGUGGAGGAUGAGCCGGAACUUGGGAUUGUAUUCACAUUCUUUGUCUCCAAUUUUAAUGAAUCUGGAACAUAAAGGCUCAUGUGAAGGUGUCCUGAUGACAUAGAACAGGAUGAGUACUGAAACCACAAGGCUAAAAUGAAGGGAGGCAUGAGGGAUGUCAAGGCCCAAGCCACUGAAGCCUGGUGGGUGCUGGCCAGACAUUCUCAGUGCCAUUCAAGUCCCUUCACGUGGUAACUUUCCCACAGCUGAGGGUCAACCAUGAGUGGCCAGCGCUCACAGUUGAUGAGAAUGGUGGCAUUCUCCACGGACAUGCGGUCGGCUGGGAGGCCCUCGUUCUGCCAGGCAGCCACGUCAGCAUCAUCCAUCAGCAUCCUCAGGGGAUCCAGGGCUGGGGUGACUGGAAUGGGAGUCUGGUGAAGAAGAAACACCACCCCACGCUCAGAACAGAAGCAGACAUUCUCAGCUGGGAUGAAUGCAGUUACUCACCAAAUGACACAACUCCUUUAAAAGCAAGAUCAACAUCCCACUGAAGAAUGCCUUUCUGGCUGUGUGAUUAUUUCUGGAAGCAGGUUCUAUUAAAGUCCUGAUAGCUUUUUUUUUUCCCCUCCAUGGAUGAAUAACUGCAGAAAUUCAA
Molecule: long non-coding RNA, 665 nt
Filed under: Homo sapiens (human)
Lineage: Eukaryota; Metazoa; Chordata; Mammalia; Primates; Hominidae
Description: HSALNT0388506
Source: RNAcentral